This 498-nucleotide long non-coding RNA is filed under the name Pan troglodytes (chimpanzee). RNAcentral's name for it is "long non-coding RNA NONPTRT017318". Lineage: Eukaryota; Metazoa; Chordata; Mammalia; Primates; Hominidae. The record is from RNAcentral.
AUUUUCUUUUAGAGAAGCAACUCCUAAUUGAAAGGCUACUAGCAAAUGAAAACGAAGAAAUGUACUGUUUUUGAUCAGGUGGUGUUUGGUGGAUGCAUGGGUACACUGCAUCUUACAGAAGAUGUGAAAGGGUGACACAUUUGAAGUGGGGACCAUUUGGAAUUUUGGCUGUCAUGCUGUUUAGGGCACUCUUCAUGAAGCGGCAUCAUUCAUCUGGGGUAAUAACUGAGGUUUCUUGCCUCACACCAAGAAAAUCAAAGAUGUGGACCCACAAGGAGUGACGUUAAGAGUGGAGAUUUAAUAGGUGAGAAAAAGAGAAAAGCUCUCUCUCCUGCAGAGAGAGAGAGAGGCUCCCAAGUGGGUCUUCUGGUUCCCUGGUGAAAUACAUGGGGUUUUAUAGACAAGCUUGAGGAGGUGGUGUCUGAUUAACAUAGGGCCCAAAAGAUUGGUUGGACCCAAUAUGUCAUUUACAUAAUGCAAGAAGAAGCUGGUCACCCC